RNAcentral lists this ribosomal RNA (3317 nucleotides) under Triticum aestivum (bread wheat). RNAcentral's name for it is "partial small subunit ribosomal RNA". Lineage: Eukaryota; Viridiplantae; Streptophyta; Magnoliopsida; Poales; Poaceae. The record is from RNAcentral.
UGCAAAUCAACGAUUGAGAUCAAAUGUUCUGCCCAAGCAGACGUCUGCUCCAUCCCCAGAUCCCCGCUCGCCCCUACUGCAACACACAGGCCGAUUCCGCGCCGCUGGUUCUCCACCUCCCCUCCCUCUCCUCACUACAGGACGCCGCCGGGCGAAGCUCGGCUCGCGUCGGCGGCGCCGGGGUCACUCUCCUGCCUCGAGCAGCGUCGGCGGCGCGGGAUGCAGCGGGCUCGGCCUGUGUCACCGACGCGAGUGUCCCUCUCGAGCGGCGGCGGUGGCGGAUUCAGCGGACGCGGGCCGUGGCGGCGGCGGCGGCGGUGGAUGCAGCGGGCUCGGCCUGCGUCGGCGGCGGCGGGUCCAUCUCCUUCCUCGAAUAGCAGCGGGCUCGCGCCCCACGAUUUAUUCGACUCCGGCGAUUUGUCAACUUCUGCUUUAGCGGCGCCGCAACGGAGCACUCUGUCGGGCCCCUUGGCGGGAUCGGCGUCCGGAUCAUCUCGCGCCUCCGCAAGGGGGAUGGGACUGCUCGGGCUCAUCUGCAAGAGCCCCUCGCCGCCAUGCCGCCUGCUGCCGCUGACACCAUCAACGGGAGCGGACGAGCAGGAGAGAUCCUGUCGAUCUGAUGACGAAAGGGCGAGAUAACCGGCUCCUGUAUGUUUUGGAAGGUCUACCUCGAGAUAAAUUUGGACACCGGCAAGCUCCUCUCAGUAAAGUUACACCAAGUCUCUCCUUUGUUUGAUUUUGGUUCCAGCUUUGAUCGGGAGCACCAACCGCGAGCUGGGAGAAAGCCCAAGUGAGUAGCACUUCCACAGCAGAUUGGUUACCAAUUUAAUUGUUCUGAUUUUUCUUCAUGUGAGGUGAUUUCUGGCCUUUGUUUCUACUAUCACGCGCAUAUAAGAGAACUCGAGGAAGAAGUGAAGCUCCUCAUUUUCUGUGAAGAAGUACCUUGAGACUGUCCGUGAGGAAGACACGCUGAAUAUCUUGCUUGAUUUUGUUCCCCGCCCACUGCACGCCGCUGUCGAGAACACCUCUGCUACCUCCUCCCAAUCUCCGCCACAAGAUUCUCCGUCCAGAUCCUGGGCGAGGAAUAAAAAAAUUAGUUCUUGAAGCUUCUCCAUCAUGCUGGACGGACAACUGUAUCCGGCACCGUCGCCAUCGCUUAUGGAGUUCCACACCAUUGCCCAGUUGUACGAGAGCAUGUUCAAUCUUCUCCAUUCAAGACUAUGCAAGUGGUGAACUCUGCCAAACAAGAAGAUAUGAGGAUAUGGCAUAUAUGCCCCAUAAGGUAGCUAUAUGGUAAUUCAUGUAUUGUAGUUUGGAUUACGGUCACACUUUGAAGGGUAAGUAGAUGAUGCUCAAUGACAUAACCUGCACUGAUCUUCACAGUCAUAUCAUCUGAUAGAAGUUUAUUGAAUUUCAUUUAAAUUUUGUUGUAUGUUAUCCAUGAUGUAAGUGGAGAUAGGAAGUUAAACAAAAUUAAAAAUUGCAGCACAAAGGGGAUGUCCACCAAUGAUUUGACAUGAUAAGAUGUUAGUGAAGCAUGGCAAACUAUGACAUUAGCAAAACUUAUAUUUACAUAUAUUCAUAUAUAUGAAUUUUGGAAAUGUGCAUUGCACGUAUAUCGUACUUCUCUUCACUAUUCAAAAUACUUGUACCCACUAUGAUUUCAUUUUUUAUUAUUUACCUUGAAGGAGUAUUAUAUUAAUGUUAUUUGUUGUCCACCUUGAUCCUUCACUGCUAUUUUUCCUACUAAGCAACUUUGCAUGGAGUUAAGAUCAUUUCGUAAGAUUCUGAUAUGUUUUUCAAAUUCGCUUCCUUUAUGCAUGAACCUAUCAUCAAGAUUUAGACCUCUUAUAUGGUGCAUGUAUGCUGCUGUAAGAAGAAAUGUAAUAUUGUCCUCAUCAAUUUCUUUCUUAGCAUGCACAAUAUGUUACAACAUCAAUUUCAUUGGUUUGGAGAAGGUGAUAAACAUGCAACCGUUCUUACUUGAUGAUAUGAAUGCUUCAUUGGAGCAAUAUUGGCCUUUGUUUGCACAUUAGUGUUCCAUUAUGUAGUAAAAGAUGUGGUCUGGUAGCCUUUCUUCAUUGUUACAGUUAUUGUCAAAUGGUGGAAUAUUGGUGCCUGGUAGCUCUGGUUCAUGUAAGCAUGACGAAACAUCGUAAAAUCAUAUUUCUUGUUGUAUCAUGAGUCAUAUGAAAAGAAGGUUAGGCGAUUUAUGUUUUUAGUUUUUCUAUUGCUCGUGUGUUAAAGAUCUAGGCAUACAUUUCAGAUAUAAAUUUGGGCAUAAAUUGUCACAAAUAGAUGGGUGGCGUGGGUCAAGGUUCAGAAACCCAGGGCAUCAUGUUUCUUUCGAGCCAUAUGAGGAGAACUACAUCCAUGGUAGUGGCUACAAUAUAAUCAGAGAGCCAUGUACAUGUUGAUUGUUAUGAAAUCAUGGGAUGGAAUCUUGAUCUCCGGUGUCCAGAAAUCUAUUUUCUCAGAGAAAAAAUCGAUGCGAGUUUAUAUUGCUGAUGUUUCGUCACGCACCUUAAUUUCUUCUUCGGAUUAUGAAAUAUUUAGGUUAACAAGAUGCCAUGUAAGUUGGGUUGAGAUCUGCUAUACAGUGACUUUCUUUUGUUCAAAUAUUUCAUUUUUUUUCAUUUUCAUGCUGUCGAAGUAUUUGUACUUGUGAUUUCCUGAAGUUUUGUGAAAUAUUGAAGGAUAUCUUGGAACGACAAAGUUCCCAGUCUUCAUGCUAGGUGAUAGGACACUGGCUGCUGAAGUUGCUCAUUGCCUCGCAUAAAAGAAUGGAAUCUCCUUAUUUUUUGCUAUGUUUUGCACAUGUUGAUUAUGAUGGCAUUGUUUUGAACAUUCUAUCCCAUGUUGAUAAAAAGUAGAUGCUUUGGUAUGCCCUCUUUGUUCUAGCUUGGUUGGUUGACUGGUUGUUGUUCUAGGUGUUGUUGAGAUGACCUAAGCUAACAACAAUUUGAGCUUGCCUCCAUGGUGUUUGAUUAUAUUUAGGUGGACAAAAUCCCCCGGUGAUAAUCCCAAAAAGAAAAUUUGGCAUUGACGCAGGGCGUAGAGCGUUGGUGAUGCCUGAAAAGAAAAUUUGGCAUGGCACGGGAGGUAAGGCGUUGGUGAUGCCCAAAAACAAGAUUUGGCGUGAUGCGGGAGGUAGAGCGUUGCAUGCGGCAGCAAAGAUACAACCAUGUUAAAAAAUUCAAACCAUCGACGGGAAGUAGAGUGUUGUGUGCGGCAGGAAAGAUACAACCAUGUUCAAAAAUUCAAACCAUCGGGGUCACAGUUGCAAGAUGGGGAUUGGAUGGCAUGGACACAUUUAG